UAGGGAAUCUUCCACAAUGGGCGCAAGCCUGAUGGAGCAACACCGCGUGAGUGAAGAAGGGUUUCGGCUCGUAAAACACUGUUGUAAGAGAAGAAUGACAUUGAGAGUAACUGUUCAAUGUGUGACGGUAUCUUACCAGAAAGGAACGGCUAAAUACGUGCUAG
This 164-nucleotide ribosomal RNA is filed under the name uncultured bacterium. Its description in RNAcentral is "partial 16S ribosomal RNA". It matches the Rfam family "Bacterial small subunit ribosomal RNA", at positions 355 to 511 of the family's 1533-position model. The record is from RNAcentral.